Molecule: long non-coding RNA, 2054 nt
Organism: Passer domesticus (house sparrow)
Lineage: Eukaryota; Metazoa; Chordata; Aves; Passeriformes; Passeridae
Exons: 3
Source: RefSeq, a predicted model, not a curated record
AUCUCUUCUUCUAAAUAAUGCCUCUCCAUGACAUUUUUCUCCAACAUAAACAGCUGAGUUGCAGGAUUGUUUAAUCCCCUGAGAGCAGGGUUUGGUUGGAGAUUCCAAAAGCGCUGGGAGUGCAUUGCAUCCCUGGCCUGUGCUCCAGGCAUGUGGCACAGAUAACCAGGUUAUCUCCCAGGCAGGGAAAUCCCAGGCCAUUUCCAUAAUUUAUAGAUAAGCUCAGCUGAAUGAACCCGACACGAAAUUGUCACCGUCUGUUGAACAAACUGUGUGGAACUGUUGAACAAAGGGACAUUUUCGCAUCUGGCAUCACACAACAGAGGCCCCACAUGAGCAGCUGUGCAAAGCUGGGGCUGAGGAUGUUUACAAGAAACCUUCUUUUUGUCGGGGAAGUCACUCAUUGAUUCCUGUCUCUCACCAAAUGCACCUGAGGCCUCGCCAUGGCCCAGAGGUUUAAAUGUUACAGCCCAGCUCGCAGCCAUCCAUUAACCUCUCUCAGGACCUUAAGCUCAGUAUCCAGGCAGUUUCCCUCUCCAUCUGCCACAAGGAGCUGCAAUUCAGGGAAUUAUUUCAGUUUAAGAUGGCUGCUCUCAGAGAAAAGAAACACAUGGUGUGUCCUACCCUUGGAUUUGGACUUCCUGUGUCUUUUAUCUUCAUCUGAAACCGAAGUCCUUCACUCUCCAGGGAUGCUGUUGCUCUUUAUUUGUGAGCAGGUGCAGCAGCUAUGAAAGGAGCAUGUUCCUGCUCUGUCAGAACUCACUUUUUGGCUGAAGGGACCACAAAGGGAAAUUCCAAAACAUCUGUUAUUCACAGACUAACCGAUCCGAAUGUCUUGUGAGCACUUGUGCCACCAAGCUUCUCAAGGAGAAAAGGAAAAAGUUUUUUUGUCUCAAAUAUCCCUGACAAUAAACACAGAGACAACACCUGUGAAACCAUCAGAGUUUGCCUCAACUUCCUGCUGCAAAACCUCAGACUCUUUGCAAAGGGCUCCAGAAAGUUCUCAGCCAGGUUCUCAACUCUUGUACCUGCUAACCUGCCCCAUACAAAGCUAAAUUCAUUUUUACUGCACUGCAGGUGCAGGUUGGAAAGGCAGAGCUGCUCAAAACGCACGAAAAAUUCCACGUUGCAAACAUGGAAACAGCUCCUGAGAGACAGAGAAACUCUUGAAAAUAGCUCCUUGAUUCAUUAGGAACAACAGCAAGGUUGACACAUCCCCCACGUUUCAUCCCACCCGUGGAUUCAUUACAGGCACCAGAGAGAUGCAGGCGCUGAGGAACCGAAUUCCUUCCCCCACCUUUCUUCCCCACAAAGCCUCUCCCUGGGUUUUAUCUGUAACUUCAGCAACAGCUUGAAUUGCUGGGGAACUUGACAGGGUGAUUUAUCAUAGCUUGUUGCAUUUUUCUCAAAACAUCCCAAGCAGAUGAUAUUAUGAUAUGAAAGAGGGGGGGAAAAACAAGAUGUAGUCAUUGUACAUGACAAAAGCUCAUUAUUAGGGCAUCACAAAACAAAAUAGAAGAAGAUUGGGGCAGAUAAUGACAACCAGUGCUGAAGAUAGACAAAAAAGAGAGAAAACCAGGCAAUUGAAUUUUUUAAAAAAACUGUAAAAAUAGGAUGGGAUGGACCUCUAACCCAGCCUUCCCUGAAGGGAGGUUGGGCUCUACCUGUGUCGGCCCCAACAGAUGUUUGUGACAGAGUCCACAGCAACACCAAAGUCCUGUGCUAAGUAAUCACCUGCAAAAACAUCAGUUCAAUUCUGAAAAGCCCCACACUGAGCCACAACUGCUGAUGAAACAGAAUUUAAGAGGGAAGAAAUAACUUGCCAUAUUGCAAAGGAAUAGGAACCCCUUGGUGAUACAGAAAGAGCUGACUCUAUGAAUUCCGGGGGCUUGGGGAAGGGGCCUAGGAAAAAAUAUUUCUUUUCUCUUCAGAAUUGUCUCUGCUUUGGAAUAUUCUUCUCCUCUGAGCUUGCUUUGGGAUGGCACAUUUCAUGACAUCAUUUUACAGCGAUAUUAGACAAAACAAUACCGAAUAAAUAGAUCUGAAACAUAAAA